RNAcentral lists this ribosomal RNA (96 nucleotides) under Acidimicrobiaceae bacterium. RNAcentral describes it as "partial 23S ribosomal RNA". It matches the Rfam family "Bacterial large subunit ribosomal RNA", at positions 1 to 95 of the family's 2925-position model. The record is from RNAcentral. Lineage: Bacteria; Bacillati; Actinomycetota; Acidimicrobiia; Acidimicrobiales; Acidimicrobiaceae.
UUCCAAGCUACUAAGGGCCAACGGUGAAUGCCUUGGCGCCUACUACCGAAGAAGGACGUGGACGGCUGCGAUAAGCCACGGGGAGCUGCCUAUCUA